RNAcentral lists this ribosomal RNA (497 nucleotides) under uncultured bacterium. RNAcentral describes it as "partial 16S ribosomal RNA". It matches the Rfam family "Bacterial small subunit ribosomal RNA", at positions 28 to 507 of the family's 1533-position model. The record is from RNAcentral.
GAUGAACGCUGGCGGCGUGCCUAAUACGUGCAAGUCGAGCGAACGGACGAGAAGCUUGCUUCUCUGAUGUUAGCGGCGGACGGGUGAGUAACACGUGGAUAACCUACCUAUAAGACUGGGAUAACUUCGGGAAACCGUAUCUAAUACCGGAUAAUAUUUUGAACCGCAUUGUUCAAAAGUGAAAGACGGUCUUGCUGUCACUUAUAGAUUGAUCCGCGCUGCAUUAGCUAGUUGGUAAGGUAACGGCUUACCAAGGCAACGAUGCAUAGCCGACCUGAGAGGGUGAACGGCCACACUGGAACUGAGACACGGUCCAGACUCCUACGGGGGGAAGCAGUAGGGAAUCUUACGCGAUGGACGAAAGGCUGACGGAGCAAAGCCGCGUGAGUGAUGAAGGUCUUCGGAUCGUAAAGCUCUGUUAUUAGGGAAGAACAUAUGUGUAAGUAACUGUGAACAUCUUGACGGUACCUAGUCAGAAAGCCACGGCUAACUACGUG